ACGGAGGGUGCAAGCGUUAUCCGGAUUCACUGGGUUUAAAGGGUGCGUAGGCGGGCAGGUAAGUCAGAGGUGAAAUCUCCGAGCUUAACUCGGAAACUGCCUUUGAUACUAUCUGUCUUGAAUAUGGUGGAGGUAAGCGGAAUAUGUCAUGUAGCGGUGAAAUGCUUAGAUAUGACAUAGAACACCGAUUGCGAAGGCAGCUCACUACACAAAUAUUGACGCUGAGGCACGAAAGCGUGGGGAUCAAACAGGA
This 253-nucleotide ribosomal RNA is filed under the name uncultured prokaryote. RNAcentral's name for it is "partial 16S ribosomal RNA". It matches the Rfam family "Bacterial small subunit ribosomal RNA", at positions 525 to 777 of the family's 1533-position model. The record is from RNAcentral.